RNAcentral lists this ribosomal RNA (390 nucleotides) under uncultured eukaryote. Its description in RNAcentral is "SSU rRNA". It matches the Rfam family "Eukaryotic small subunit ribosomal RNA", at positions 587 to 972 of the family's 1831-position model. The record is from RNAcentral.
AGCUCCAGUAGCGUAUAUUAAAGUUGUUGCAGUUAAAAAGCUCGUAGUUGGAUUUCUGGUUUGAUAUGCCUGGCCCGCCACGGUUACGUGUGUGAGUGCCGGUGCGUGUCUGCCAUCCUUCUGGAAAACGCGUCUACCCUUCACUGGGCCGGACGUGCGAUCCAGAUCAUUUACUUUGAAAAAAUUAGAGUGUUUAAAGCAGGCUUUUUGCUAUGAAUACAUUAGCAUGGAAUAAUAAUUUAGGACUUUGGCCCUAUUUUGUUGGUUUCUAGGACUGAAGUAAUGAUUGAUAGGGAUAGUUGGGGGUGCUCGAAUUCAGCGGCCAGAGGUGAAAUUCUUGGAUUCGCUGAAGACGAACUCAUGCGAAAGCAUUCACCAAGGAUGUCUUCU